GGGAAAACAAUCCAAAGUCUCUUGUUCUGGACAGUUGGGAUUUGCAACAACCUUCUGUUUCAUGCCCAGCCAGUUUUCGAAGAUGGAAGGUGGAAGCAUACCUACGGAUUUUUGAUUGGGUUGCAAAGAGGGUGAAAUAGCUGUUAUUUGGUUUCUGGCCGAUUAAAUCGGUCUCAAUCCCCUGCUUGUAAUGUAACCUCAAUCACACCUAUGUUUGAUGAUAGACCUCUAAAAAUCAGAAGUGGUCCCAAAACCCAAAUCCAAUCAGGAGCAUGUUGCUCACAGGCGCAGUCCUGAAUCUUCC
Molecule: long non-coding RNA, 304 nt
Filed under: Lepisosteus oculatus (spotted gar)
Lineage: Eukaryota; Metazoa; Chordata; Actinopteri; Semionotiformes; Lepisosteidae
Description: lncRNA (ENSLOCG00000021820.1)
Source: RNAcentral